GUCAGGUUGGCCGAGCGGUCUAAGGCGCCAGACUCAUGUUUCAAUUCCUUUUCAAGAUGCAUGCGAGAGUUUUCUGGUCUCCGAAUGGAGGGUGGGUACGAAUCCCACUUCUGACA
This 116-nucleotide transfer RNA is filed under the name Nematostella vectensis (starlet sea anemone). It matches the Rfam family "tRNA". Rfam says of the family: Transfer RNA (tRNA) molecules are approximately 80 nucleotides in length. The record is from Rfam by way of RNAcentral. Lineage: Eukaryota; Metazoa; Cnidaria; Anthozoa; Actiniaria; Edwardsiidae.